AGCUAUAAGAAAAUUUAUUUUUAGUAAAACCUGCCCAGUGAAUUUUUUUAAACGGCCGCAGUACCAUGACUGUGCUAAGGUAGCAUAAUAAAUUGGCUUUUAAUUAGAGUCUGGAAUGAAUGGAUUUUUAAAGUUUAGCUGUCAUAAUAAUAAUAAUUUUAACUUAUUUAUUUGGUGAAAAUACCAAAUUUUUUUUAAAAAGACGAGAAGACCCUAAGAAUUUAUAUUUUUUUUUGUUGGGGCGACAAAAAGACAAAAAAUUAACUCUUUAUUUUCUUUUUUAUAUAACGAAAAUUAUUAAAAAUAAACAAAUUACCUUAGGGAUAACAGCAUAAUUAGUUUUUUUUUCUGUUUAUGACCUCGAUGUUGGACUAGAAUCUUUUUUAGCUAGUCGCUAAAAAAUUAUGUUCUGUUCGAACAAUAAUUUUUCU
RNAcentral lists this ribosomal RNA (431 nucleotides) under Acroloxus lacustris. Its description in RNAcentral is "partial 16S ribosomal RNA". The record is from RNAcentral. Lineage: Eukaryota; Metazoa; Mollusca; Gastropoda; Acroloxidae.